RNAcentral lists this transfer RNA (67 nucleotides) under Termitogeton planus. RNAcentral describes it as "tRNA-Asn". The record is from RNAcentral. Lineage: Eukaryota; Metazoa; Arthropoda; Insecta; Blattodea; Rhinotermitidae.
UUAACUGAAACCAAACAAGAGGCAUAUUACUGUUAAUAAUAAAAUUGAAUUAACAAUUCCAGUUAAA